GACGAACGCUGGCGGCGUGCUUAACACAUGCAAGUCGAACGGAAAGGCCCUGCUUUUGUGGGGUGCUCGAGUGGCGAACGGGUGAGUAACACGUGAGUAACCUGCCCUUGACUUUGGGAUAACUUCAGGAAACUGGGGCUAAUACCGGAUAGGAGCUCCUGCUGCAUGGUGGGGGUUGGAAAGUUCCGGCGGUUGGGGCUGGACUCGCGGCUUAUCAGCUUGUUGGUGGGGUAGUGGCUUACCAAGGCUUUGACGGGUAGCCGGCCUGAGAGGUGGACCGGCGACAUGGGGACUGCGGUACGGCGCAGACGCCUACGGGAGGCAGUAGGGGGGAGUAUGGCACAAUGGGCGGAAGUCUGAGGUAGAGACGCCGCGAGCGUGAUAACGGCCUUCGGGUUGUAAACCGCUUUGGCCUGUGACGAAGCGUGAGUGACGGUAAUGGGUAAAGAAGCACCGGCUAACUACGUG
Molecule: ribosomal RNA, 468 nt
Filed under: uncultured bacterium
Lineage: Bacteria
Description: partial 16S ribosomal RNA
Rfam family: Bacterial small subunit ribosomal RNA
Source: RNAcentral